GGGAAACUGCCUAAUGGAGGGGGAUAACUACUGGAAACGGUGGCUAAUACCGCAUAACGUCGCAAGACCAAAGAGGGGGACCUUCGGGCCUCUUGCCAUCAGAUGUGCCCAGAUGGGAUUAGCUUGUUGGUGAGGUAACGGCUCACCAAGGCGACGAUCCCUAGCUGGUCUGAGAGGAUGACCAGCCACACUGGAACUGAGACACGGUCCAGACUCCUACGGGAGGCAGCAGUGGGGAAUAUUGCACAAUGGGCGCAAGCCUGAUGCAGCCAUGCCGCGUGUAUGAAGAAGGCCUUAGGGUUGUAAAGUACUUUCAGCGGGGAGGAAGGUGUUGCGGUUAAUAACCGCAGCAAUUGACGUUACCCGCAGAAGAAGCACCGGCUAACUCCGUGCCAGCAGCCGCGGUAAUACGGAGGGUGCAAGCGUUAAUCGGAAUUACUGGGCGUAAAGCGCACGCAGGCGGUCUGUCAAGUCGGAUGUGAAAUCCCCGGGCUCAACCUGGGAACUGCAUUCGAAACUGGCAGGCUUGAGUCUUGUAGAGGGGGGUAGAAUUCCAGGUGUAGCGGUGAAAUGCGUAGAGAUCUGGAGGAAUACCGGUGGCGAAGGCGGCCCCCUGGACAAAGACUGACGCUCAGGUGCGAAAGCGUGGGGAGCAAACAGGAUUAGAUACCCUGGUAGUCCACGCCGUAAACGAUGUCUACUUGGAGGUUGUGCCCUUGAGGCGUGGCUUCCGGAGCUAACGCGUUAAGUAGACCGCCUGGGGAGUACGGCCGCAAGGUUAAAACUCAAAUGAAUUGACGGGGGCCCGCACAAGCGGUGGAGCAUGUGGUUUAAUUCGAUGCAACGCGAAGAACCUUACCUGGUCUUGACAUCCACAGAAGAAUCCAGAGAUGGAUUUGUGCCUUCGGGAACUGUGAGACAGGUGCUGCAUGGCUGUCGUCAGCUCGUGUUGUGAAAUGUUGGGUUAAGUCCCGCAACGAGCGCAACCCUUAUCCUUUGUUGCCAGCGGUUAGGCCGGGAACUCAAAGGAGACUGCCAGUGAUAAACUGGAGGAAGGUGGGGAUGACGUCAAGUCAUCAUGGCCCUUACGACCAGGGCUACACACGUGCUACAAUGGCGCAUACAAAGAGAAGCGACCUCGCGAGAGCAAGCGGACCUCAUAAAGUGCGUCGUAGUCCGGAUUGGAGUCUGCAACUCGACUCCAUGAAGUCGGAAUCGCUAGUAAUCGUGGAUCAGAAUGCCACGGUGAAUACGUUCCCGGGCCUUGUACACACCGCCCGUCACACCAUGGGAGUGGGUUGCAAAAGAAGUAGGUAGCUUAACCUUCGGGAGGGCGCUUACCACUUUGUGAUUCAUGACUGGGGUGAAGUCGUAACAAGGUAACCGUAGGGGAACCUGCGGUUGGAUCACCUCCUUACCUUAAAGAAGC
This 1429-nucleotide ribosomal RNA is filed under the name Salmonella enterica subsp. enterica serovar Mikawasima. Its description in RNAcentral is "bacterial SSU rRNA". It matches the Rfam family "Bacterial small subunit ribosomal RNA". The record is from RNAcentral. Lineage: Bacteria; Pseudomonadati; Pseudomonadota; Gammaproteobacteria; Enterobacterales; Enterobacteriaceae.